Molecule: long non-coding RNA, 683 nt
Organism: Nicotiana tabacum (common tobacco)
Lineage: Eukaryota; Viridiplantae; Streptophyta; Magnoliopsida; Solanales; Solanaceae
Source: RefSeq, a predicted model, not a curated record
AAUCUCAUCCCUCACCUCGCGAUUCACAGACCUCACUCCCACACUCUCCUCUCCUCUUAUACACAGAAACUCACAAUCAAAAAAACUUUGGAUUUCAGAUCUGGAAAAAUACAAAAAAGAAAAAGAAAAAAGGAAACAGAUUAGAAAGGGAAAUUAUGAAACUCUUGUUUCCGUCAAACUUCAGUUCAUCUACUUGUUAGUUUUGGGGUUCUUGAGUUUAAGUUGUUGAAGGUUGAUUUUGCCGUGGACUGCUUCCGUUGCUGUUGAUGUCUUGUUGAUCUUCAUUUGGCCCUUUUGUCUAGCCUUUAUUUGGCGUUUCUAGCCAAUUCCUAAGCGAUUAGGUGCUUCCAUAGCAGGUGACAUCGAUCUGUGAUAGCAGUAUAUUCUCCUCUCAGCUACUUGGUGAGCCCCAUUUCAUAUCGGGGUCAUGUACCAUUUGUUUUCUCAUGUAUUGUGUUUUGAGGUAUAGCCGGGGCCUUGUUGCCGAUAUUAUCCUAGCACUCUCUUGUACCCGUUAGAGGCUCCGUAGACAUGGUGUGGAUUGUACAUUGGUAUUGGGAAGAUGAAGCUAAUGAUACUGUAAUUGUAUCACAUGCUCCACUUCUAAACUAAGGAUGUGUAAUGUACGAUUUUGAGGACUUUAAAAUGAAGUAACUAAUGGUAAUGAAUUGGUAUUGUACACA